GGAUGUGAGGGCGAUCUGGCUGCGACAUCUGUCACCCCAUUGAUCGCCAGGGUUGAUUCGGCUGAUCUGGCUGGCUAGGCGGGUGUCCCCUUCCUCCCUCACCGCUCCAUGUGCGUCCCUCCCGAAGCUGCGCGCUCGGUGGAAGAGGACGACCAUCCCAGAUAGAAGGAGUGUACCGUUCUUCGGUCAAGGGUAUACGAUAGCUGCGCUCCCCUGCUAGAACCUCCAAACAAGCUCAAGGUCCUGACAGUGUGACCAGCCACUUUCUUCCUCCACCUUUCACUUUCAACGUUUAUUUUCAGAGU
Non-coding RNA from Podarcis lilfordi (Lilford's wall lizard), 305 nucleotides. The record is from the annotation of a GenBank genome assembly. Lineage: Eukaryota; Metazoa; Chordata; Lepidosauria; Squamata; Lacertidae.